ACGGGAGGCAGCAGUAGGGAAUCUUCCGCAAUGGACGAAAGUCUGACGGAGCAACGCCGCGUGAGUGAUGAAGGCUUUCGGGUCGUAAAACUCUGUUGUUAGGGAAGAACAAGUGCUAGUUGAAUAAGCUGGCACCUUGACGGUACCUAACCAGAAAGCCACGGCUAACUACGUGCCAGCAGCCGCGGUAAUACGUAGGUGGCAAGCGUUAUCCGGAAUUAUUGGGCGUAAAGCGCGCGCAGGUGGUUUCUUAAGUCUGAUGUGAAAGCCCACGGCUCAACCGUGGAGGGUCAUUGGAAACUGGGAGACUUGAGUGCAGAAGAGGAAAGUGGAAUUCCAUGUGUAGCGGUGAAAUGCGUAGAGAUAUGGAGGAACACCAGUGGCGAAGGCGACUUUCUGGUCUGUAACUGACACUGAGGCGCGAAAGCGUGGGGAGCAAACAGGAUUAGAUACCCUGGUAGUCCACGCCGUAAACGAUGAGUGCUAAGUGUUAGAGGGUUUCCGCCCUUUAGUGCUGAAGUUAACGCAUUAAGCACUCCGCCUGGGGAGUACGGCCGCAAGGCUGAAACUCAAAGGAAUUGACGGGGA
RNAcentral lists this ribosomal RNA (588 nucleotides) under Bacillus cereus. Its description in RNAcentral is "bacterial SSU rRNA". It matches the Rfam family "Bacterial small subunit ribosomal RNA", at positions 341 to 919 of the family's 1533-position model. Lineage: Bacteria; Bacillati; Bacillota; Bacilli; Caryophanales; Bacillaceae. The record is from RNAcentral.